This is a long non-coding RNA of Lucilia cuprina (Australian sheep blowfly), 391 nucleotides long. RefSeq lists it as uncharacterized. NCBI's taxonomy places the organism in Eukaryota, Metazoa, Arthropoda, Insecta, Diptera, Calliphoridae. The record is from RefSeq and is a predicted model, not a curated record. The transcript has 2 exons.
UUUAAUUGUUUGUUUUGUUUGCACUGAAUAAUAUUUGUUAAUAUAUAUUUUUUUGUAUUACGAGAUCUUUGCUUAAAAGGUCAAUUGUAUUUGUAACAGCUGUGAAAAAUAAAACAAAGUAGUGAUAACAUUUAUAUAAACAAAAUUUAAAUUAUUUGCAAAAAAAAAAUAUUAAAAAGUUUAUAGUUGUUUAAUUAAUAACAACACAGUGUAAUGGAUUUACAAUUUAUUUUUAAACUUGGUGCGCUUCAGACGUUGUAAACGGGCAAUAAUAAUAAGUAAAUAAAUAUUGAAAAAAAUAUAUUGCAUUGAAGUGAAAAAUAAAUUGUAUUUAAGAAAAAAAAAAAUAACAAAAAAUGUUUAACGCACAAAUGCAGUUUAAAAAAAUAAG